CUGGAGGUAUCAGAAGUGCGAAUGCUGACAUAAGUAACGAUAAAGCGGGUGAAAAGCCCGCUCGCCGGAAGACCAAGGGUUCCUGUCCAACGUUAAUCGGGGCAGGGUGAGUCGACCCCUAAGGCGAGGCCGAAAGGCGUAGUCGAUGGGAAACAGGUUAAUAUUCCUGUACUUGGUGUUACUGCGAAGGGGGGACGGAGAAGGCUAUGUUGGCCGGGCGACGGUUGUCCCGGUUUAAGCGUGUAGGCUGGUUUUCCAGGCAAAUCCGGAAAAUCAAGGCUGAGGCGUGAUGACGAGGCACUACGGUGCUGAAGCAACAAAUGCCCUGCUUCCAGGAAAAGCCUCUAAGCAUCAGGUAACAUCAAAUCGUACCCCAAACCGACACAGGUGGUCAGGUAGAGAAUACCAAGGCGCUUGAGAGAACUCGGGUGAAGGAACUAGGCAAAAUGGUGCCGUAACUUCGGGAGAAGGCACGCUGAUAUGUAGGUGAAGUCCCUUGCGGAUGGAGCUGAAAUCAGUCGAAGAUACCAGCUGGCUGCAACUGUUUAUUAAAAACACAGCACUGUGCAAACACGAAAGUGGACGUAUACGGUGUGACGCCUGCCCGGUGCCGGAAGGUUAAUUGAUGGGGUUAGCGGUAACGCGAAGCUCUUGAUCGAAGCCCCGGUAAACGGCGGCCGUAACUAUAACGGUCCUAAGGUAGCGAAAUUCCUUGUCGGGUAAGUUCCGACCUGCACGAAUGGCGUAAUGAUGGCCAGGCUGUCUCCACCCGAGACUCAGUGAAAUUGAACUCGCUGUGAAGAUGCAGUGUACCCGCGGCAAGACGGAAAGACCCCGUGAACCUUUACUAUAGCUUGACACUGAACAUUGAGCCUUGAUGUGUAGGAUAGGUGGGAGGCUUUGAAGUGUGGACGCCAGUCUGCAUGGAGCCGGCCUUGAAAUACCACCCUUUAAUGUUUGAUGUUCUAACGUUGGCCCCUUACCGGGGUUGCGGACAGUGUCUGGUGGGUAGUUUGACUGGGGCGGUCUCCUCCUAAAGAGUAACGGAGGAGCACGAAGGUUGGCUAAUCCUGGUCGGACAUCAGGAGGUUAGUGCAAUGGCAUAAGCCAGCUUGACUGCGAGCGUGACGGCGCGAGCAGGUGCGAAAGCAGGUCAUAGUGAUCCGGUGGUUCUGAAUGGAAGGGCCAUCGCUCAACGGAUAAAAGGUACUCCGGGGAUAACAGGCUGAUACCGCCCAAGAGUUCAUAUCGACGGCGGUGUUUGGCACCUCGAUGUCGGCUCAUCACAUCCUGGGGCUGAAGUAGGUCCCAAGGGUAUGGCUGUUCGCCAUUUAAAGUGGUACGCGAGCUGGGUUUAGAACGUCGUGAGACAGUUCGGUCCCUAUCUGCCGUGGGCGCUGGAGAACUGAGGGGGGCUGCUCCUAGUACGAGAG
This 1433-nucleotide ribosomal RNA is filed under the name Escherichia coli. RNAcentral's name for it is "partial 23S ribosomal RNA". It matches the Rfam family "Bacterial large subunit ribosomal RNA", at positions 1273 to 2689 of the family's 2925-position model. Lineage: Bacteria; Pseudomonadati; Pseudomonadota; Gammaproteobacteria; Enterobacterales; Enterobacteriaceae. The record is from RNAcentral.